AUUUCCUUUCUUUUCAGGAUUCUUUUAAUUAUUCUACUCAUUACAAUUAUUUAACAUGUAUUGACCCUGGUUAAGUUGUUUAAAGUGAAUGAAAAGCAGAGUGAACUUGCUGAAAAUGCCAACGGGAAGCCUCCAGUCAAGAAGCAAAGUGCUGGAGAGUUGCUUCUUCACAUAGGUAUUUUUCAUUCAUCAGUAAUGACGAAUGUUUUAGACUUUUCUUUCUUUGUAUAAUGAACACAUCUAUCCCUUGUUUUUGUUCUUUUCUGCAGUUCUACCCCCGCCCCCCCGCCCCAACUCUAACCUUGCAGAUAGAGCUUUCAUUCAUAUAAUGGAAGGUCAGAAAUUCUGUAUGGAUGAAGAGUUUCAUCUCUUUACAGAUGUUGCAGAGUAAAAUAAUAUAUUUGUGAACUAGAAAUGCCACCAGAAAAUUGUGCAUUAAAGAAAUAGAAGAGAAUGAGAGAGAGGGGGGAAAAACAAUUUGAUGAUUAGUCUCGUGGUGAUUUCAUAUACUUAAACAUGGGAUUGUGAGUGAAAUCUCCCUCGCAUAUUGCUGCUUUUACUCCCUUAAACUCUAUGGGAAGGCGCUGAACAAAAAUAUCAUUGGAGUGUUGAUGUAGUCAACUGCCAAGUUACUCUCUGUAGGGAAUUUAUGCCUUAAGCCGACAGCAGCAUUAACAACACAAGCGUAAAAUGCAAGAAAAAUAAGAGAACACGCAGAAAUGUUCACCCAGUUCGGCCCGAAUGACUUAAUCUGGGGGGCUUAGAGUCAGUCCAAUCCACUAGUGCAAUUCUAUCUCUCAGAGAGAGUACAGUACACAGAACCAAAUAGAAUAACCAGAUCAAUCAUCGAUCCAAAAAUGGAUCUCAAAUCUGGACACUACACUUCUUCCUCACAACACCGGCCACCGCUACACAUACGAUAGAUUACUCACACAAAAUGGCAUCCAAGUUACUGUAGCGCACAAGAUUCACAAGAAUCUAUCAAGAGAAUAAUAAUCUCCGGUUUCUACGGGCUAAGAAGAAAGGGAGAAAAAUUUCUCCCAAAAACGAAGAGAGAGAGGAGAAAUAUUCAAAAGUCAAGUAUGAAAAAACCACACCCCAGCCGUAUCCUUCAGAAGACUAAGGGCCAACAAUUUUUCAUCUCUACCGUUCAUUCAAUCAAACGGUCCACACAUGGCCAAAAGAAACACAGAUCCAAGUUAUAUGGUAUGAGCGAAUCAGGAGCUGCCACGUAACGUCACCAACUUAAGGUGCGGUAAAUGUCCAGAUUACCCUCUCUUAAGUAGCAAUUUUGGAGAAACACAUUUUCUCCUUCACUCUCUUUUCAUCUCAUUCUUCCCGUCUAUAAAUAAUUUCAUUCUGCGAAAAAACUCUACACGAUCACCAAUUUAGUGCUAAUAGUUGAUUUGUUGUCAUCUGAACACUAAUGUCUUUGAAGAGGUUUGAAACCUGCAUAAAUUCUCAAUGACAAACCGCUUGUGAGUUUGCUUGCCCGUUUGAGUUUUGGCAAAGUGAGGAAUAAAUGGCCGAUCACCCUCGAUGCUCAAGUAAACUUUCGUAUUUUACUUUAGAGAAUGAUUUGCCAGAUGUGCUAAUACAGAUGUCUUUGCAUAGACACCCAUCACUCUCUAGAAUGCUUGAGUCUUGUUAGUUGGUACCUGAGGUGAACAUGGUCUGCGCUGGUGUUCUGACGCUAAUGUCAAAUCAAAAUAUUCCCUGAGUGCGUUAUUUUAGUGUUUGCUGUGGUACUGCCAGCUUGCUCGGCCUCUGGACUUGACUAGGCUUUCAAAGAGAAGGGAAUGAAGGAAUCAUGUGGGCUUUUUGACUAUCUGAUUGUCUAUAGAUUGGCUUAGCUUGUCUGCUAGGCCAUUUGCUCCUUAAGGGGGUCUGCACACGACCUUUUUCGAGCUCGUGCCUUCUUGGCCUGACGUGAACCUUGAUGAUGAGGCUUACUAAGUAGUAGACUCUAAUCGACAAGUGUCAAACAUGUUGAGUUUCAGUUUUGACCUUGCGGGAUGGCCAUUUGACUUGUGCCAGGUCAUGUAGGCGGGACCCUAAUUGCCACGGGUGUAAACAUCAGAUUGCGUACAAUGAUUGGCAUGCUAAAUUCAUCAUUUGUCACACUUGACGGAUGCUUCAUGG
This 2142-nucleotide long non-coding RNA is filed under the name Olea europaea subsp. europaea. The record is from RNAcentral. Lineage: Eukaryota; Viridiplantae; Streptophyta; Magnoliopsida; Lamiales; Oleaceae.